Pipistrellus kuhlii (Kuhl's pipistrelle) is the source of this 1173-nucleotide long non-coding RNA. RefSeq lists it as uncharacterized. The record is from RefSeq and is a predicted model, not a curated record. The transcript is spliced from 2 exons. NCBI's taxonomy places the organism in Eukaryota, Metazoa, Chordata, Mammalia, Chiroptera, Vespertilionidae.
AAUCAAUAAAAUAUAUUUUUAAAAAAAUACAGGCUUGAUCAGCAGUGGCGCGCUCUCAAGCUGUAAGCCCGCUCCGACUGCACUGUUUGUGGUGGCCUGUGCUGAAGGUGGUCAAGGAGGGCGCAGGGUGUUCCUGUUUACCCGGCGAGAUAACAGCCUGUGCCCCUUUGGAGCGGGCUGUCCCGUGUACAGAGCACAGGUUAUGCAACGCAGAGCCCGCAGUUCGUUCUUUCUUUUUCUCAGGGUCACCUCCAGAGUUUUCUUAGGAAGCAGCCAGGUGGGACGCAGGAUAGGACAGCAGUGUAGAAUUAUCGCCCUUCUUGAGAGUUUGUUUGCCAGCUGUUUUAUAGAGGUGCUCUCACUACUAACCCCUGUCACGCAGGACACACCUGCACCAGAGCGCACUGCUAGUGAGUGAUAGAAGUUGGAAUUUUUCUUUCAGUUUUUCUGAUUCCAAAGCAUUGAGAUCUUUCUCCUCCUCCUUAGAAGUGGGAAAGCCUGUGGCAGUUUUUACCUCAUUUUGCAGUCAGAGACAUCUGAGGCCUGGUGCACGGAGGAGGCUCUGAAUUAAAGCUGAGUGGGUGUGGGUGAGGGACAGUCUCUCAAGUCAGGCGAUCUGGGCUCUACUGACUCAUCAGGAACAGGUCAUCUUUCCUCUCAAAGACUGUUUUCUCAUCUGUAAAAUAGCUGUGAGGUGUCUUCCAGCAAUGUAACUAAAAACAGGGUUAUUGAGGUUUAAUUUACAUACAGUUAACUUCACCCACUUUUAGGGGUAUAGUUCUGUGAACUUUGACAAACAUACAGUCCUGUAACCACAGCCACAAUCAGGGUCUAGAACACUUCCAUCAAUCCAGAAAGUUCCCUUGUAUCCUUUUGUGUUACUGUCUCCCUUCACCCCAGCCCUGGCAAACACUGAUCUGUUUUCUGCCCCUAUCGUUUCAUCAGUGGGAUUUUAACUGGAACUUUUGAUGAACAGAAGCAUGUCCACAUCAGGGAUUUAGUUUUAGAACCUUUCCAGGUUCUGUCCGGUGUCCAACAAGCAUCUGGUGUGAUCUCCUGAACUCCCUUUUCCUGAAAUGCUGGCUUUUGCUCGAUUUAAUUUUAAGGAACCUUAGAGAUAGAUCACCUGUUGGUUUUCCAGCUCCUCUGAGCUCCAGUGCCUGGGGAUAUGGU